AACGAACGCUGGCGGCAGGCCUAACACAUGCAAGUCGAACGGGACCUUCGGGUCUAGUGGCGGACGGGUGAGUAACGCGUGGGAACGUGCCCUUUGGUUCGGAAUAGCCUCGGGAAACUGGGAGUAAUACCGGAUACGGUCGAGAGACGAAAGAUUUAUCGCCGAAGGAUCGGCCCGCGUUGGAUUAGGUAGUUGGUGGGGUAAAGGCCUACCAAGCCGACGAUCCAUAGCUGGUUUGAGAGGAUGAUCAGCCACACUGGGACUGAGACACGGCCCAGACUCCUACGGGAGGCAGCAGUGGGGAAUCUUAGACAAUGGGGGAAACCCGUGAUCUAGCCAUGCCGCGUGAUCGAUGAAGGCCUUAGGGUUGUAAAGAUCUUUCAGUGGGGAAGGAUAAUGACGGUACCCACAGAAGAAGCCCCGGCUAAACUCCGUGCCAGCAGCCGCGGUAAAGGUGACUACUG
RNAcentral lists this ribosomal RNA (464 nucleotides) under uncultured bacterium. Its description in RNAcentral is "bacterial SSU rRNA". It matches the Rfam family "Bacterial small subunit ribosomal RNA", at positions 29 to 540 of the family's 1533-position model. The record is from RNAcentral.